Molecule: ribosomal RNA, 508 nt
Filed under: uncultured bacterium
Lineage: Bacteria
Description: partial 16S ribosomal RNA
Rfam family: Bacterial small subunit ribosomal RNA
Source: RNAcentral
GACGAGCGCUGGCGGCGCGCUUAACACAUGCAAGUCGAGCGAGAACCGGACCUUCGGGUCCGGGGAAAGCGGCGAACGGGUGAGUAACACGUGGGUAACCCACCCUUGGUACUGGGAUAGCCCGGGGAAACCCGGAUUAAUACCGGAUGGCCCAACAGCUCCUCGGGGCGGUUGGAAAAGGUAGCUUCGGCCUCCGACCAAGGACGGGCCCGCGGCGGAUUAGCUUGUUGGUGGGGUAACGGCCCACCAAGGCGACGAUCCGUAGCUGGUCUGAGAGGACGAUCAGCCACACUGGGACUGAGACACGGCCCAGACUCCUACGGGAGGCAGCAGUGGGGAAUCUCGCGCAAUGGGCGAAAGCCUGACGCAGCGACGCCGCGUGGGGGAAGAAGGCUUUCGGGUUGUAAACCCCUUUCAGGAAGGACGAAGCCACUCGGGUGCAUAGCCCAGAGGGUGACGGUACUUCCAGAAGAAGCCCCGGCUAACUACGUGCCAGCCGCCGCCGUAA